RNAcentral lists this ribosomal RNA (253 nucleotides) under uncultured bacterium. RNAcentral's name for it is "partial 16S ribosomal RNA". It matches the Rfam family "Bacterial small subunit ribosomal RNA", at positions 524 to 776 of the family's 1533-position model. The record is from RNAcentral.
UACAGAGGUCUCAAGCGUUGCUCGGAAUCACUGGGCGUAAAGGGUGCGUAGGCGGGUCUUUAAGUCAGGGGUGAAAUCCUGGAGCUCAACUCCAGAACUGCCUUUGAUACUGAGGAUCUUGAGUCCGGGAGAGGUGAGUGGAACUGCGAGUGUAGAGGUGAAAUUCGUAGAUAUUCGCAAGAACACCAGUGGCGAAGGCGGCUCACUGGCCCGGUACUGACGCUGAGGCACGAAAGCGUGGGGAGCAAACAGG